This 495-nucleotide ribosomal RNA is filed under the name uncultured bacterium. Its description in RNAcentral is "partial 16S ribosomal RNA". It matches the Rfam family "Bacterial small subunit ribosomal RNA", at positions 28 to 507 of the family's 1533-position model. The record is from RNAcentral.
GACGAACGCUGGCGGCGUGCCUAAUACAUGCAAGUAGAACGCUGAAGGAGGAGCUUGCUUCUCUGGAUGAGUUGCGAACGGGUGAGUAACGCGUAGGUAACCUGCCUGGUAGCGGGGGAUAACUAUUGGAAACGAUAGCUAAUACCGCAUAAUAGUAGAUGCCGCAUGACAUUUGCUUAAAAGGUGCAAUUGCAUCACUACCAGAUGGACCUGCGUUGUAUUAGCUAGUUGGUGAGGUAACGGCUCACCAAGGCAACGAUACAUAGCCGACCUGAGAGGGUGAUCGGCCACACUGGGACUGAGACACGGCCCAGACUCCUACGGGAGGCAGCAGUAGGGAAUCUUCGGCAAUGGACGGAAGUCUGACCGAGCAACGCCGCGUGAGUGAAGAAGGUUUUCGGAUCGUAAAGCUCUGUUGUAAGAGAAGAACGAGUGUGAGAGUGGAAAGUUCACACUGUGACGGUAUCUUACCAGAAAGGGACGGCUAACUACGUG